Molecule: ribosomal RNA, 496 nt
Filed under: uncultured bacterium
Lineage: Bacteria
Description: partial 16S ribosomal RNA
Rfam family: Bacterial small subunit ribosomal RNA
Source: RNAcentral
AUGAACGCUGGCGGCGUGCCUCAUACCUGCAAGUCGAGCGCACAGACGAGGAGCUUGCUCCUCUGACGUUAGCGGCGGACGGGUGAGUAACACGUGGAUAACCUACCUAUAAGACUGGGAUAACUUCGGGAAACCGGAGCUAAUACCGGAUAAUAUAUUGAACCGCAUGGUUCAAUAGUGAAAGACGGUUUUGCUGUCACUUAUAGAUGGAUCCGCGCCGCAUUAGCUAGUUGGUAAGGUAACGGCUUACCAAGGCAACGAUGCGUAGCCGACCUGAGAGGGUGAUCGGCCACACUGGAACUGAGACACGGUCCAGACUCCUACGGGAGGCAGCAGUAGGGAAUCUUCCGCAAUGGGCGAAAGCCUGGCGGAGCAACGCCGCGUGAGUGAUGAAGGUCUUCGGAUCGUAAAACUCUGUUAUUAGGGAAGAACAAAUGUGUAAGUAACUAUGCACGUCUUGACGGUACCUAAUCAGAAAGCCACGGCUAACUACGUG